Molecule: non-coding RNA, 247 nt
Organism: Schizosaccharomyces pombe (fission yeast)
Lineage: Eukaryota; Fungi; Ascomycota; Schizosaccharomycetes; Schizosaccharomycetales; Schizosaccharomycetaceae
Source: the annotation of a GenBank genome assembly
AUACCUAUAGUAACUGAAUAGUGGGAUCACCUCAUAUAACUAUUAGUAUGUGUCUACUUAUUACUGAGAUGUCACAUACUAUGUAGCUAUUUGAAUAUUUCAUAACCAUCAAUUCAAAAAUUGGUGGAAGACAAAUGUUUUUUCCUAUUUUUCUAUUCCUAAAUUGUAUACAAAGUAGUUCGUUAUAGAGAUCAUUGAAGGCAUGGCAAAAAUUGUUUACUAGACAUUAUGAAUUUCAGUAACAGAU